CCGCCACUGGGCUGGCUACGCUGGUCUCUGUCCCUGACUCCCUGUCUCCCAGUCUCCAGACGCCGGGAUUGCAAAAUGUCGAAGAGAACAUUCUAUUUUUCAAGCAGUAGCAGUACACCUACUCCUCCAGAAACCAAGGCAACCAAAAAUCCCCAGAGUAGAAUUUUGUGCCUCAGAUAUCAUUAGUGAUCCCGGAAUGCGCAAAUCAAUUGAUGAGUACCCGUCUGAGAUUAGAGAUCAAGUAAAGAGGGCAUAUGCUUUGAGGGGCCCAACUCAACAACCAGUUGGUUUUACAUUUCCUCGCACAUGGCAAAGUGGUGAAUGGAGAUCCUUUCAGCAGCAUUGGUUUGGGAAAUAUGAUUGGUUGGAGUAUAGUGAGUCAAAGGAUGCAGCAUUUUAUUUUUAUUGUUAUCUUUUCUUUGAGCUAGGAAAGUCCGACAAAUGGGGGAGUAAUGUCUUUGCAAAGGUCAGUAUAGGGAAAUGGAAGAAGGCCUUGGAAAAAUUUGAUAAACAUGGUGCUUCUCAUUCUCAUUGUAAUGCAAGGCUGAAGUGUGAGGACUUUAUGAAUCAAAGAACAAGUGUCACCUGGAAAAUUGAAACGCAUAGUAAGGAAGAAGAAAUUAGAUACAAGAUUCGCAUAACAUCUUCUUUAGAUGUUGCAAGAUUUCUCAUAAAGCAAGGUGAUGCUUUCCGUGGACAUGAUGAGUCCUCCACUUCCCUCAACAAGGGCACAUAUAGAGAGUGGUUGAUUGGUACAAAGACAAGGUUGAAACAGUUAAGGAUGCAUAUGAUAAAGGCAAUAAAAAUUGUCAGAUGUUAUCUCCUGAUAUUCAGAAGGAUCUUGCUAAAGCUUGUGCAGAGGAAGUCACGGCAGUGAUUAUGGAUGAGAUUCGUGGUAGGCGAUUCUCAGUGCUUAUUGAUGAGUCUCGAGAUGUAUCUAUAACGGAGCAAAUGGCUAUGGUUCUGAGGUUUGUGAAUGAUGAAGGAAAAGUGGUGGAGAGAUUUCUUGGACUUAAAGAUAUUGAGAAAUGUACAUCUGUUGCAUUCAAAGAAGCUUUGGUCGGUAUGAUUUCUAGCCACAAGUUAAGCAUCAAUAUGAUUCAGGGGCAAGGUUAUGAUGGAGCAUCCAAUAUGAGAGGUGAAUUUAAUGGGGUGCAAAAGUUGAUUUGUGAUGAAAAUCCUUAUGCCUUCUAUGUUCAUUGCUUUGCCCAUCAAUUGUAAUUAGUGGUUGUCGCUGUUUCAACUUUUACUCCAGCUAUUGCAGAUUUUUUCAACUAUGUUCCUUUGAUAGUUAAUACUGUGGGUGCAUCUUUGUAUGAGAAAGGAUGUCUUGCUUGCAAAGCACCAUGAUAAUUUAAUAGAAAAGUUAGAGAAUUGUGAGGUAGCCACCGGAAGAGGUUUAAAUCAAGAAAGUGGCCUUGCUAGGCCUAGAGAUACUAGAUGGGGCUCUCAUCUUAAAACAUUGCUUCGCAUUUUGGUAAUGUGGGAUGCUAUUUUGGAGGUGCUUGAGAUUGUGAAGAAAGAUUCCAUUAAACCAACAUGUAACGGUGGUGCUUUCGGAUUAAUUGGUAAAAUGGAAAGCUUUGAUUUUGUGUUCAUCCUGCAUUUGAUGAUAGAAUUAUUGAGCACUACAGAUAAUUUGUCACAUGCUUUGCAAAGAAAGGAUCAAGAUAUUGUUGAAGCAAUGCAUUUGAUCAUGAGUGUGAAAGAAAGCUUGCAGGAUAUGAGGGACAAUGGAUGGGAACCAUUAUUCAAAAGAGUGAAGACAUUCUGAGAUAAAAAUGAGAUUAAGGUGCCAAAUAUGGAUAAGAAAGUAAAUGCUAGAGGGACAUCUGCACGUAGAAGGCAAAAGGUAACAAAUAUGCAUUUCUACCAUGUUGAGAUCUUUCUUGCUGCCAUUGAUGCCAUUUUGUCUGAGAUGAAUCAUCGAUUUAGUGAAGUUAGUUCAGAGUUGUUAUCAUGUAUGGCUGCACUUAAUCCAAGGAACUCCUCUAAUUUUGAUGUGGAUAAACUUGUGAGACUUGCUGAAAUAUAUGCUGAAGACUUUGAUGUUGGUCAUAUUUUUCUCUUACCAAGUCAACUUAGAGAGUUCCACCAACGUGUUAAAAGAAACAAAGAGUUUCUUGGAAGCACAGUACUUUCAAAGGUUGCUGAAAUUAUGGAUGGUCAAGACCACGAUGAAUAGUUCUUACCCAUUGGUUUAUCGGCUUGUUGAGCUCACAUUGAUACUUCCGGUGGCAACUGCUUCAGUUGA
This is a long non-coding RNA of Setaria italica (foxtail millet), 2254 nucleotides long. RefSeq lists it as uncharacterized. The record is from RefSeq and is a predicted model, not a curated record. NCBI's taxonomy places the organism in Eukaryota, Viridiplantae, Streptophyta, Magnoliopsida, Poales, Poaceae. The transcript has 3 exons.